This 251-nucleotide long non-coding RNA is filed under the name Elaeis guineensis (African oil palm). Its description in RNAcentral is "long non-coding RNA (EGUI_LNC069991)". The record is from RNAcentral. Lineage: Eukaryota; Viridiplantae; Streptophyta; Magnoliopsida; Arecales; Arecaceae.
AGUGCUCCCUGCUGCAUCAUCCGAAGAAAGGGCGGCAAGGGGAACUGCCGAAGCACCGUCGGUAGUUUCAUCAACUGAGGAGGUUCGGGUCGAGGCAGAAGAACUCGAACAAUCUGCGGCUGCACUAGUUGCUCCUUCAGCUAGGGUGCAGUCGAGUUCAAGCUUCCCCUCACUUUCGAAUGUGGGACCGCCGACAAGGGACCGGGGGAAAGCUUUGGUGACUUCGGCGGAAGAUGCAACAUUGGAGGGCC